UACGAAGGGUGCAAGCGUUAAUCGGAAUUACUGGGCGUAAAGCGUGCGCAGGCGGUGAGCUGUGUCCGAUGUGAAAGCCCCGGGCUUAACCUGGGAAUGGCAUUGGAAACUGGCUCGCUGGAGUGUGGCAGAGGGGGGUGGAAUUCCGCGUGUAGCAGUGAAAUGCGUAGAGAUGCGGAGGAACACCGAUGGCGAAGGCAGCCCCCUGGGCUAACACUGACGCUCAGGCACGAAAGCGUGGGGAGCAAACAGG
Molecule: ribosomal RNA, 253 nt
Filed under: uncultured bacterium
Lineage: Bacteria
Description: partial 16S ribosomal RNA
Rfam family: Bacterial small subunit ribosomal RNA
Source: RNAcentral